Zonotrichia leucophrys gambelii is the source of this 551-nucleotide long non-coding RNA. RefSeq lists it as uncharacterized. The record is from RefSeq and is a predicted model, not a curated record. Lineage: Eukaryota; Metazoa; Chordata; Aves; Passeriformes; Passerellidae. The transcript is spliced from 4 exons.
CUUUCCUGCCGGAAGGUGCAAGGGUGGGUCCACUUAUUUUCGGCCGCCAUUGUCCCCUCAGAGCACAAAAGGCACAGCAGAGGUUGAGGUGCCGCGGUCCCACGGGACAGGGAUUAGAGCAGAUUCAUCCCAGGUCUUGCUCCCGCCGGGCCCACCAUGCUUCCCGUUCCGAUCAUCCUUGCAAUUAUAAAGGUCGUUGGAUUAGCUGUAGUCACGGCAGGAAUUACAAUUGUAGGUGAGAGUCUGGCACGGGAUAAGCAGCAUUUGGGCAGCCUCGAUGCUUCUGGGACCUGACACUCCUGUCUUUAUAGGGGUGAAACAUGAGGACGGACUCUGCCCUGCAAGCAGCAGCAGACAUCAUGCUGUCCAUGGAAAGAGCUCCAGGUUCCCACUGCCAGUGAACAGAAAGUGAUUUCCUUCCUUCCAACUGGCUUGAUUCAUGUAUUCCCACUGCUGGAACUGGAAAUCCCCCAAAGACCCCCAGCUGCCCCUUUAACAGAUUUGGAUGGCCUUGAGCAAUAAAUGCUUUUGAAUACUUUAAUAGAAGUGCA